UAUUCCCUCCAAGAGUGUUUAACAGACGGACUAUAACUGACAUACCUAAAUCUUAUCCGUUGCUUACUAUCUCUAGCUAUGUUUCCUAAUUCAUUCUAAUUUUCCUAACGUCUUAUCCACAGAUUUUGAUAUUAUUCUCUCAAUCAUUGUUCUAUUUUUAAUGAUUGAGGAUUCUUUCCUACUGUAUGAAUUUAUCUUAUGGUUCUAACUAGAUUCUCUUGUAACUUUUCUUACUAAUUGAAUUUAAAUCUAUUUCUAUUGUGUACCUAUUAAUAUCUUCCUUCAUUUUUAAACUUCUUAUCAUGAUCUAUUCUUCCCUUGAUAUAUGAAGGUGCAUUGGAAAGCACAUCUCUUAUGAUCUCUUCUGUUUUAUAUUAUCUAAUCUAUUACUCAAAUUCUAGUCUAAUCAUCAUCUGUCUAAUCUGUAAAAUGGAGAUUCCUGCUGUCAUCAUAAACAUUGCCGUAAGUAAAUAUGCUAAUAACUAAAUUUAAUCCUUUGGUGUAUUUCAGAUCAUCUGCUAUGGAAUUUUCCGAUGUCCGGCACGUUGUGGUUUUUUCCAUUGCUGAUCAGGUACGUAUCUAUUCAAUACUUUAUGCCUUGUUUCUGUGUCUCUCUUCUUUCAGGCGCUGCAUCAUCCUUCUGGAGUCGUGGAGUCCUCCUGCUUGUCCUUACGCCAGGUGAAAUACUACAACGGUGGACCGGACUUCAACUUCAAUGGCAUGCAUCUAGUAAUGUAUAAUGCUUAUAAUUAUGUGAACUGUAAAGAAGGUAUUUAUUUUUGUUUUUGUGAUCAAUAAAGAAUUCUUCGUGUUUACAACUACCCACUUGUUUUGUUACUUGUUACUUACAAAUUCAUCAUUAUAACUGUGUUGUGUUGUGCUGAGCGAAAAAUUCUUCAUUCAUGCUGGUCAAGUAUGUAUUCUCUUAAGUAUCCUAAGUGGUCAAUAGUAUGUGUGGAAUGACCCUUGACAUAAACGUGAUUUUACUAGUUGACUAAUUAAUCUAAAGAUUGUUAAGAUUUUGUGUUGUCGCUGAACGUUAAGUUCUACUCUUGGCGAUUUCUUGCCGCUUCCGCAGUUCGCCCUUGAACAAACGACAUCUGUGAUAGUGGAAAAACCUCAGUGGACGCCUAUAUACGUAUUUCGACUCUGUCCAAGGAGUCUCAUCAGUAGGCUUUAUUGUGCAACUACCGGGGGUGUUUUUGAUUGACCUAAUGGCCCUUUUUUGAGAAAAACCUAAUGUGUGGGCCCCUAACUUAUGACUUUGGAAAUAAUGCAGAUCAAUUGAGUGGGGACUCAACAUCCCGAUAAUCAAAGUAAAGUAGAGUAAGGUGAAAAAAUUUUAUUUUAGAGAGAUAUUCCUACGUUUCCUAUACUUAAUUUGAAUCUUUCCCUGUUUUCCUAAUCUAACUUGAGAUACCAAAAAAACACACAUGCCCACGUACCUUGUCCUCUGUCAACACAGUUUUAAUUGUGUACGCUCCAUCUUUCGCUUCGUGGUUUGUUGCUUCCCUCGGUGUAUCUUUUCCUCAAUACGUCCUUCCUAUGUGCAAGAACUUCCUUCUGGAUUGGUUGCAUCAUUUGUCCAACACUGCCUUUCAUAGAUAAGUAGAGUAUUGCCAAACACCUUUUCACCACUACACUUUUUACAUAAUCAACUGUUCACCUUGAACUUCCAGUAUGAAUUGGACCAUUCUUCGGUCAUUCCUUGUUUUUAUACUGCUUGUUCCAGUUUCAUAUGUUCCGGUUUUUUACCGUUGCUUUCUUUAUGUGUAUGGUGUUUUUAUUGAUGUGUAAGUGUUGGGCUCUUGCAUUGGGCAAAUGCAGGCUGUACCUCUACAUUCCAAGUUUGGACUUUUGUUGACUAAGCGGACUUGUACGAUCCUUAUUACUUCAUUAUCUGUUCUCCUAGCUAUUAUAUCAUACCUUCUCUUACCUAUGUGCUAAUAUUGCUAUUUUCGUACUGAGUUAGAUAAGACAAAUGGUCACCUAUCCUAUUUCCUAGUGAAAAAGGAGGCUGACGUGCAGGCACGAGUCAAGGCCGUAGAACGUGUGGAUUGUGCUGUUCUCAUCAGCUUUUUUCUGACCUAAGGAGGCACUAUUUCAGGGGUCUCUCCUCGUAAUCAGCUGAGCACUAUCCGUUCAACCCCCAGCGACUCAGGUAAGAACAACUUUUUUUUUGGGUUGGUCAACAACUUGCAUUCUACAUUGCAAGCUGUCUUGUCCCGUCGACAAUCAACCUAUGACCAUUUUGUGAAAAUAUUAACUACAUACUCGUGAAGAGAUAUCCACGAACCGCAACUGCUGCCACUCUCUUACAAGGUCCACCCACUCACAGUACAGGUCCUUGUCGUCUACAAGCACAUUUCAGUUACGUCCUGGCUACAAGCUCAUUCUGUCAUUUUUUGCUAUUUCUAUCUGCCGUAAAGGCUGUUAUAGCAAUCUUUAAUAUUGACGUGGACUGGGCUCUAUUAUUGCCUUAUAUCUGGUUCUUCAUUUUCCACCAGAUAUACCUAUUGUUAAAUGUGGUCGUACCCUGGGUGACUGAGACUACUCAUGUAAAUACAGUUACCCCCUCAUAUGGAUAUAGAGAGAGCAUCCAAUAUGGAGAACGCAACUACAUUCUACUUGGAAGCAGACCGAUGUCCUCCGACCUCUCACUUCAAGAUCACAAAAGAUAAGACAGGAUAGUGUGGAAAAAUUGAAAUAUGGUGAGAGUAAAAAGGUAAAAAAUUAUUAAAGUGAGAAUGCUCCUCAUUGGGCGAGACUUCCCUAUGUACUUUAUACCUUAAAGUAAGUGAGGGCCUGUUUGUUCGCAAUGGGCAUCCUUUUAUUCGUCGGUUUAGCCAGGCAAUCUAUGACUAGGUGACGAAUACUGAAGUUUGAUGUGCUACCACAUCUAGCUUCAAGGCGAAAAAAUGUGAAAAUUAGAGAUAGGAGAGAGUAGUAUGAAAGGAGAAUGCACCUUUAUGGGCUGAGAUUUCCCCUAUGUACCUUGUACUCCAAAGCCAGUGAGGGGCUUGGUCUCUCCAAAUUUGGCAUUCCUGUGUUCAUCGGUUUAGCCAGAAAAUACCUAAAAGGCACCCCUUUAGCUGGGUGACGAACACCUAUCUCUCAAUGAGACAGUCAUGGGGAAUCUGAGUUGCCACCCGAGUGUGGUUCAGCUCACCAGCAGGUCCCACAGUUCAAGCUGCAGGCCAGUAUAUCUUUGCAGCCUGAAGACAUCCUACAUUGUUUGGGAUGUAUAUUUGGUCUGUGGAUGUACAUUAUAUUCCCACUUAUUCCCUCCAAGAGUGUUUAACAGACGGACUAUAACUGACAUACCUAAAUCUUAUCCGUUGCUUACUAUCUCUAGCUAUGUUUCCUAAUUCAUUCUAAUUUUCCUAACGUCUUAUCCACAGAUUUUGAUAUUAUUCUCUCAAUCAUUGUUCUAUUUUUAAUGAUUGAGGAUUCUUUCCUACUGUAUGAAUUUAUCUUAUGGUUCUAACUAGAUUCUCUUGUAACUUUUCUUACUAAUUGAAUUUAAAUCUAUUUCUAUUGUGUACCUAUUAAUAUCUUCCUUCAUUUUUAAACUUCUUAUCAUGAUCUAUUCUUCCCUUGAUAUAUGAAGGUGCAUUGGAAAGCACAUCUCUUAUGAUCUCUUCUGUUUUAUAUUAUCUAAUCUAUUACUCAAAUUCUAGUCUAAUCAUCAUCUGUCUAAUCUGUAAAAUGGAGAUUCCUGCUGUCAUCAUAAACAUUGCCGUAAGUAAAUAUGCUAAUAACUAAAUUUAAUCCUUUGGUGUAUUUCAGAUCAUCUGCUAUGGAAUUUUCCGAUGUCCGGCACGUUGUGGUUUUUUCCAUUGCUGAUCAGGUACGUAUCUAUUCAAUACUUUAUGCCUUGUUUCUGUGUCUCUCUUCUUUCAGGCGCUGCAUCAUCCUUCUGGAGUCGUGGAGUCCUCCUGCUUGUCCUUACGCCAGCUCUAUCUAAUCCAAAAUGGAAAACGUGUCAAGAAGAAGAAAACCAGCAAUGGAAAAUCAAACGACCCAACAAAUCCCAUAUGGAAUGAGGCAUUCAACUUCAGUGUACCUACAUCUGCUGUAAACUCAACAGGAAUUGAGAUUUACGUUGUAUCGACCGGAGGUGAAGCCAAUGCAAUCGGCAGUUGCGGUCUCGGCCUACAAGAGCAUGGCCCCGGAAAGCAGCACUGGCAGGAUAUGAUCCACAACGCACGGAAACCCACAGCCAUGUGGCACUAUCUCAGAUAAGUUGCAAAUUCCACCAAGGACUACAUAGAAACGUAAGACAUAAGGAAUCAAGCCAGAGCAACCCGAAGGGAAUUAGUUAUUCGUGUAUUGACCAGAUAGACCAAAGUGACGGAGCAAAAUCGACCACAGGGAUCCUGCGGACUUAGGGAAAAUGUAGGUUAUUUUGAGUAAUGCGUGUAGCGGUAGUUAGUUAGGCAGGCAGAGAUUUGCAACUGAUUAAGUGUCCAUUACCAGAAAUUAUGCUGUUUAAAAUGUGCUUUUCAGCCCGAAAUAUUCCAUUCCAUUCAACGGAGUCCUGCAUGGUUCAAAUGUACCUGAAACGUUUUGUAAAUUGAUUGAUGUAUUGGAGAUUAAAUGAAUAGUUGAACCUUCCUUUCCCUGUUGUAAAAUAGCAUUCAGCCUUUCCUGUACGAGGAUCCUUAAAUGUCCUAAGUAGGUAGGGUGCUGCACCCUUGACUAUUUCUGCUUCAAGUAGUUGAGGUUUUUGUUCGAUUGAAAUUUAUACCCUGAGCCACUUGAACGUCAUGUUUUUGUUGACAAAUUUUUCGCCGCUUUAUUUUCUUCUUUUGCAAUAAAACGAUUUGAGUGGAGGGUCUUGAGUAGCAAUUUUCAGAAUUAAUAGUGUGUUUUGUUGUCAUCGCAUGGGAAUCAAUUUCAUUCAUGGGGUAAAAGUGGAAUAAUGUCGCAAUGGGUUUGGGGACAUAUGGAAAUUAUUGGCUUUUUAUUAUACGAUUUUGAUUUUUGAGUGGUAUUUGCUGGCAAUGGCCCUUCAAUAAUUUCGAAGUAUGUAUGUAUCCUUAUAAUUAAUAUUUCAGAAGGAAGAGCUAAUUUCGUAGUUUAUUUCUAUCUGCCAGAAACUGAUAUAAAAUUUUGUUAAGAUGAAAUUAAUUACACCCAAUCAAUGAAGAAUUGAAAAGAUCUUGCUCCCUUAUUUUAGAUGUUUACAUUAAGUUUUCUAUAUUUUCUCCCAAAUGUUUGGUUUAAAUGGGAUAGUAAGGUGUUCAUUAUACAGAAUGAUGUAAACACACUUUAAAUAUUUUGCUUUUCUGCUUUUGCCUUUCCAUAAAUGUUCUUCUGCCUUUGCAAUUUUGAGGCGAUACCUUCUACUUUUGACUUAAAGUACUUCCUACCACCAAAAUAUCGAGCUACAAAUGUGCUAGCUAGGAAGGGAGGGGGAAGGGCACCUUUAUCCUAUCUAUAGGAGGCUUCGCCCCUUAUCCAACAUCUGAAUUAAGGAUCAUCUAUUCUCAUCUUUAACUAUUAGAAAAAUUAUCCAAUUCUACCUCCAAGAGUAUCGGGUGAC
Long non-coding RNA from Hermetia illucens (black soldier fly), 5548 nucleotides. RefSeq lists it as uncharacterized. NCBI's taxonomy places the organism in Eukaryota, Metazoa, Arthropoda, Insecta, Diptera, Stratiomyidae. The transcript has 4 exons. The record is from RefSeq and is a predicted model, not a curated record.